RNAcentral lists this ribosomal RNA (505 nucleotides) under uncultured bacterium. RNAcentral describes it as "bacterial SSU rRNA". It matches the Rfam family "Bacterial small subunit ribosomal RNA", at positions 15 to 507 of the family's 1533-position model. The record is from RNAcentral.
GAUCAUGGCUCAGGAUGAACGCUAGCUACAGGCUUAACACAUGCAAGUCGAGGGGAAACGACAUCGAAAGCUUGCUUUUGAUGGGCGUCGACCGGCGCACGGGUGAGUAACGCGUAUCCAACCUGCCCAUCACUUGGGGGAUAACCUUGCGAAAGUAAGACUAAUACCCGAUGAUAUCCCUAGAAGACAUCUGAAAGGGAUUAAAGAUUUAUCGGUGAUGGAUGGGGAUGCGUCUGAUUAGCUUGUUGCGGGGUAACGGCCCACCAAGGCAACGAUCAGUAGGGGUUCUGAGAGGAAGGUCCCCCACAUUGGAACUGAGACACGGUCCAAACUCCUACGGGAGGCAGCAGUGAGGAAUAUUGGUCAAUGGGCGAGAGCCUGAACCAGCCAAGUAGCGUGCAGGACGACGGCCCUAUGGGUUGUAAACUGCUUUUGUGCGGGGAUAAAGUGUGGGACGUGUCCCAUAUUGCAGGUACCGCAUGAAUAAGGACCGGCUAAUUCCGUG